AUAAGGAAUCAUUUAAAAUGGAGAGAUCGGAAAUCAUGAUACCCAUUUUCGAUGGAUAUUUACGGUAUGUGGAAGCAAAGAAUAACGAUGUUUCUCAAAUAUAAAGAAUGCGAGAUUGUCACAACUAGGGUGAAGACAGAAACAGACAAUGAAGACUGGGACAAAAAGGAUUUGAAGGCAAUAAAUAUAAUUUAUAGUGCCGUCACAAAUAGACAAUUGGAAUAUAUUAGAGAAGAAAAAACGGCGUAUGA
Molecule: unclassified non-coding RNA, 251 nt
Filed under: Bombus terrestris (buff-tailed bumblebee)
Lineage: Eukaryota; Metazoa; Arthropoda; Insecta; Hymenoptera; Apidae
Description: misc RNA ENSBTSG00005036000.1
Source: RNAcentral